Molecule: ribosomal RNA, 393 nt
Filed under: uncultured bacterium
Lineage: Bacteria
Description: partial 16S ribosomal RNA
Rfam family: Bacterial small subunit ribosomal RNA
Source: RNAcentral
AUACGGAGGAUGCGAGCGUUAUCCGGAUUUAUUGGGUUUAAAGGGUGCGUAGGCUGUGCGUUAAGUCAGGGGUGAAAUGCCGUCGCUCAACGACGGAGCUGCCCUUGAUACUGGCGUGCUGGAGUACGGAUGCCGUUGGAGGAAUGAGUGGUGUAGCGGUGAAAUGCUUAGAUAUCACUCAGAACACCGAUUGCGAAGGCAUCUGACGAAUCCGUCACUGACGCUGAGGCACGAAAGCGUGGGGAUAGAACAGGAUUAGAUACCCUGGUAUUCCACGCCGUAAACGAUGAUGACUAACCGUCGGCGAUAGACAGCCGGUGGCCAAGCGAAAGCGAUAAGUCAUCCACCUGGGGAGUACGUCGGCAACGAUAAAACUCAAAGGAAUUGACGGGG